UACGUAGGGGGCUAGCGUUGUCCGGAUUUAUUGGGCGUAAAGAGCGUGUAGGCGGCCAUGUAGGUCCGGUGUGAAAACUCGAGGCUUAACCUCGAGAUGUCAUCGGAAACCAUUUGGCUAGAGUCCGGAAGAGGAGAGUGGAAUUCCCGGUGUAGCGGUGAAAUGCGCAGAUAUCGGGAAGAACACCCGUGGCGAAGGCGGCUCUCUGGGACGGUACUGACGCUGAGACGCGAAAGCGUGGGGAGCGAACAGGG
Molecule: ribosomal RNA, 254 nt
Filed under: uncultured bacterium
Lineage: Bacteria
Description: partial 16S ribosomal RNA
Rfam family: Bacterial small subunit ribosomal RNA
Source: RNAcentral